CGAAGCAGUGUAUCAUUACUUCCGCUAGCACUCCAGUUCAUAAGGUGGCGGUAAUGCACCUAUAAGCUGAUUUGCCAACCGCCAGUAAAACUCAAGAAGAAGAAGUUACUUCCGCUAGCGCCUCAGAAUGGAGUUUACCAAGUGGCUUGCACAUCUGCCACAAAUACUAGAUGAUGUACAACGUCUUGCAGACAAAUUUUCGCUAACGACAAGAUCAAAGCUAGGGAAAGGAAACAAAUUCUUCGUUGAACAGUACCUGUUUGAUUAUGAAGACCUGUUCCACGUCCACUUUCAUCAUAGACAAGAUAGCAGCUUACUGGAUUUGAAGUAAAUGAACAAAAGAAUGCACCAGCAACUUCAGACACAGUUCUGGAUUAUUAUGUGGAUGGGAUGCUGAAUUAUAUGUGAAAAUGGAAGAGGAGUGCUACAUUAGCCUUGAAAAGCCACUUCCAUAUAGGGAUUCAGCAGCACGUCCUUGGAUGGAUUUAUAACUUCUCGUUUUACCUCUGUACCUCAAAACUAAUUGCUGAUGAAUCACAGGAAGUUCAAGAUUACUUCACCGUCAUCCAUUCACAUCUGCCACUACAUUCUGAAGAUAUAUCACUCCUGUCAUCAAUGUGACUGAAUGAAAUACACACUUCUUUAUUUCCUUCUCUAUUACAUCCACCUCAUGCGGAAAAGCACAACUGCCCAAGAAUGACUGAUUCUACUCUCAAAAGAUCUCCAAUCUCCAAGAGGAUUCAUCAAAUGUCUCUGCAGGAAAGUAUGAGAGGGUCAGUAUCGAUUUUCAGUUGAGCUACUCGGUAGGAAAUACAGUGGAUGAUUUCGCAUUUUACUGUUACUGAAAAGCAAGCCUGAGAGAUAAAUUGGAAGCCUGAGGCGCAUGUCAAGAUGCAAGUGUGGAAUUGCUUCUAGAAGAACGGAAUAGUUUUUAAUUAUCAAAGUGCAAAGUGCCAGGUUAUAGGUUUGCCACAUCUGGUGUUUGGCUAGCUUUGCGAAUUGCGGUUGUCAAACUUAAGAUGUGGAAAUGCGUUACUUAUUCAAGCAAGGUUUGAUCAAAUAAAAUCUUAAAAAUAAUUUCAGCUUUGCACAAUGUAUAAUAGAAUGCAGUCUUCUGUGAUUCCUCGGGCAGCUAUAGAUAGCAUUCGCUAAAGGUCAAGCUGUUACCUCUACCUAUGUCCAACGGUUCAGAAACACGUUUAUUGUUCCUAAACAGAUUACAGCUCUUUAGAUGGCCAAAUGAGAUGACUGUCCACCAUUGCUCUCUGAAAAUGUUGCUCACAAACACACAGAGUGUUCUCCAAAGGAAGAAUGUAAAUGCCUUGCUACACUAUGUACUGUAUAUAUUUGACAGUAAAGAUAAAAUUCUGGACGAAAAUGUAAUUACUCUGAAGUUUUCUUUAAUAGCUUUUCAUAAAGAGAUUUUAAGGAGCUCUCAGUCGUUGAAAAAUGAAUGUGAAAAUUGAAAUGAAAUGAAAAAUAUGUCAUCAUUUAUUCACCCGCUUGUCAUUUCAAACCUGUAUGACUAACUGUCUUCUGCAAAACACAAAAGAAGGUAUUUUGAAGAAUGUUGGUAACAGAAAAACGUUGGUCCCCAUUGACUUGCAUUGGUUUUGUAUCCAUCCAUUCAAUAUAAAUAAACAGGGACUGACAAUUUUUGGUUAAGUAUCAACUUCUGUGAGGUUUUUCAUAACAUUUCUUAGACAGUUGUUACUUUUAAACAGUUUGAAGGUGUAAAUGAAUAUAGAAUUGAAAGAAAUCUGGAUUUGGGUCAAAUUUGAUGAAAACUGUUUGCGUUCACAUGGAAAUUUUCAAUAAUAUUGACUUUUCAUUGCAGACCUGGCAAAUCUGAGCUCAGUUUGUGAUACUGUUGAGAUCUCUUCUUAAACUUUAAAGGAGACAUUUGUGGGAUUUUUAGGUCUUUUUCUCCAAGAUUCAUUCAUUUGCUCUUGUAAUGCAGAACUUAUACAGCUCAAUAUGAAACACUUCUAACUACUGAAUAGAAAGAUAACUUUUGUGUUGAUUGACAUUUUACGCACAGCGGUAGUACACUUAAGCAGUAAAUCAAGUAAGUGUGUGGGUUUGGACUCACCAAGCACCUAUGGAUCUGCGAUUGGUACUUUAAA
Triplophysa rosa is the source of this 2126-nucleotide long non-coding RNA. RefSeq lists it as uncharacterized. Lineage: Eukaryota; Metazoa; Chordata; Actinopteri; Cypriniformes; Nemacheilidae. The record is from RefSeq and is a predicted model, not a curated record. The transcript has 5 exons.